Molecule: ribosomal RNA, 729 nt
Filed under: uncultured Planctomycetota bacterium
Lineage: Bacteria; Pseudomonadati; Planctomycetota
Description: bacterial SSU rRNA
Rfam family: Bacterial small subunit ribosomal RNA
Source: RNAcentral
AAGUGGGCUUCGGCCCGCAAGUAGAGUGGCGCAAGGGCGAGUAAUGCGUUUCUAACGUACCCCAGGGUCGGGGAUAGCUCACCGAAAGGUGGAUUAACACCCGAUGAACCCACCCGCCGCAUGGCGUGGUGGGCAAAAGCUUGCUGCCCUGGGAGCGGGGAACGUGCUAUCAGGUUGUUGGUGAGGUAACGGCUCACCAAGCCUAAGACGGCUAGCGGGUGUGAGAGCACGACCCGCCGCAUCGGGACUGAGACACUGCCCGGACUCCUACGGGAGGCUGCAGUAACGAAUAUUCCGCAAUGGGCGAAAGCCUGACGGAGCAAUGCCGCGUGCAGGAUGAAGCCCCCUGGGGUGUAAACUGCUGUCAGGGGCUAGAAACACAAUGAUCCGCCCCAAAGGAAGAGCCGGCUAACUCUGUGCCAGCAGCCGCGGUAAUACAGAGGGCUCGAGCGUUAAUCGGUAUCACUGGGCUUAAAGGGUGCGUAGGCGGGUCUGUUAGUGCUUUGUGAAAUCCCAUGGCUCAACCAUGGAACUGCAUAGCAUACUGCAGGCCUUGAGGUCGGUAGGGGCUGUCGGAACUCUAGGUGUAGCGGUGAAAUGCGUAGAUAUCUAGAGGAACACCAAAGGUGAAGACAGGCAGCUGGGCCGAAUCUGACGCUGAGGCACGAAAGCGUGGGUAGCGAACGGGAUUAGAUACCCCGGUAGUCCACGCCCUAAACGAUGUGUACU